UACAGAGGGGGCAAGCGUUGUUCGGAAUUACUGGGCGUAAAGGGCGCGUAGGCGGCCUGUUAAGUCGAACGUGAAAUCCCCGGGCUCAACCCGGGAACUGCGUCCGAUACUGGCAGGCUUGAAUCCGGGAGAGGGAUGCGGAAUUCCAGGUGUAGCGGUGAAAUGCGUAGAUAUCUGGAGGAACACCGAUGGCGAAGGCAGCCUUCUGGGCCAACACUGACGCUCAUGCACGAAAGCGUGGGGAGCAAACAGG
Molecule: ribosomal RNA, 253 nt
Filed under: uncultured bacterium
Lineage: Bacteria
Description: partial 16S ribosomal RNA
Rfam family: Bacterial small subunit ribosomal RNA
Source: RNAcentral